GUGUGCACGGCUGAGACAGAAGGAGGUCUGUGGGAUCAGCAGAACCAGCGAAACCCUCCAGGUGUCGUCAUCAAGUCCCGCUGUCUCCUCUCUCCUGGGUGGCUCGCAAACGUCAACAGGCUCACGAGAUGAUGGGGCUGAAUUAUUUCUGGGUCUCCGUUUAAGGCUCUGCAGGAAAAGGAAUACUGGCUGCUGGGUGCACACUGAGUUUGGGGCAGUAUGGCACGGACACAGCUAGGAACAGGUGGGGCCUGUGCAUUUCUCUGCAGGUGGCGACUGGCCUAGGAGGAAGGGACGACCAGGCCUGG
Molecule: long non-coding RNA, 308 nt
Filed under: Homo sapiens (human)
Lineage: Eukaryota; Metazoa; Chordata; Mammalia; Primates; Hominidae
Description: HSALNT0395359
Source: RNAcentral